AAGUCGUAACAAGGUUUCCGUAGGUGAACCUGCGGAAGGAUCAUUAUAAAAAUUUAACACUUUUAAAAUUCAAUUCUCACUGAAUUCACUCUCAGUGUUGUGAUCUCUGUAAAAAAGUCUUGAGGUGGAAGGUUAUUUGACUUGUUCUAAUGACUGGAAUCCUUGAGCAAACCCUUUUUUUAACUUAACCAAAAAAAACCCAAUUCAAACCUCAAAUGGACUCCUUUUAUUUUUCUUUUUUUAAUUUCCGUAAGGAAUGCAAAAAAAAUGAGAAAUCAAGGAACUCUAAAACUUAAAAAAAACAAAACAAAAAAAACACUCACCGAGUGUAUAAACUAAAAAUUCAUAAAAUGAAAUACAACUCUUAACAAUGGAUAUCUCGGUUCUCGU
This 390-nucleotide unclassified non-coding RNA is filed under the name fungal sp. Its description in RNAcentral is "partial internal transcribed spacer region". The stretch from base 1 to 46 matches the Rfam family "Eukaryotic small subunit ribosomal RNA", at positions 1786 to 1831 of the family's 1831-position model. Lineage: Eukaryota; Fungi. The record is from RNAcentral.